UGAGGAAUAUUGGUCAAUGGGCGAGAGCCUGAACCAGCCACGUCGCGUGAAGGAAGACUGACCUUACGGUUUGUAAACUUCUUUUGUAGAGGGGUAAUGGCAGAUACGUGUAUUUGCGUGAAAGUACUGUACGAAUAAGCAUCGGCUAACUCCGUGCCAGCAGCCGCGGUAAUACGGGGGAUGCGAGCGUUAUCCGGAAUUAUUGGGUUUAAAGGGUGCGCAGGUGGCUAAUCAGGUCAGUGGUGAAAAGCUAUGGCUCAACCAUGGUCUUGCCAUUGAAACCGUAUAGCUAGAGAGGAGACGAGGUAGGCGGAAUGUGUGGUGUAGCGGUGAAAUGCAUAGAUAUCACACAGAACUCCGAUUGCGAAGGCAGCUUACCAGGCUUUAUCUGACACUUAGGCACGACAGCGUGGGGAUCAAACAGG
RNAcentral lists this ribosomal RNA (425 nucleotides) under Verrucomicrobiota bacterium. RNAcentral describes it as "Verrucomicrobia bacterium partial 16S ribosomal RNA". It matches the Rfam family "Bacterial small subunit ribosomal RNA", at positions 355 to 776 of the family's 1533-position model. The record is from RNAcentral. Lineage: Bacteria; Pseudomonadati; Verrucomicrobiota.